CUACGGGGCGCUGCAGUGGGGAAUCUUAGACAAUGGGCGCAAGCCUGAUCUAGCCAUGCCGCGUGAGUGACGAAGGCCUUAGGGUCGUAAAGCUCUUUCGCUGGGGAAGAUAAUGACGGUACCCAGUAAAGAAACCCCGGCUAACUCCGUGCCAGCAGCCGCGGUAAUACGGCGGGGGUUAGCGUUGUUCGGAAUUACUGGGCGUAAAGCGCGCGUAGGCGGAUCAGAAAGUUGGGGGUGAAAUCCCAGGGCUCAACCCUGGAACUGCCCUCAAAACUCCUGGUCUUGAGUUCGAGAGAGGUGAGUGGAAUUCCGAGUGUAGAGGUGAAAUGCGUAGAUAUUCGGAGGAACACCAGUGGCGAAGGCGGCUCACUGGCUCGAUACUGACGCUGAGGUGCGAAAGCGUGGGGAGCAAACAGGAUUAGAUACCCGGGUAGUC
Molecule: ribosomal RNA, 439 nt
Filed under: uncultured bacterium
Lineage: Bacteria
Description: partial 16S ribosomal RNA
Rfam family: Bacterial small subunit ribosomal RNA
Source: RNAcentral